Molecule: ribosomal RNA, 497 nt
Filed under: uncultured bacterium
Lineage: Bacteria
Description: partial 16S ribosomal RNA
Rfam family: Bacterial small subunit ribosomal RNA
Source: RNAcentral
GAUGAACGCUGGCGGCGUGCCUAAUACAUGCAAGUCGAGCGAACGGACGAGAAGCUUGCUUCUCUGAUGUUAGCGGCGGACGGGUGAGUAACACGUGGAUAACCUACCUAUAAGACUGGGAUAACUUCGGGAAACCGGAGCUAAUUCCGGAUAAUAUUUUGAACCGCAUGGUUCAAAAGUGAAAGACGGUCUUGCUGUCACUUAUAGAUGGAUCCGCGCUGCAUUAGCUAGUUGGUAAGGUAACGGCUUACCAAGGCAACGAUGCAUAGCCGACCUGAGAGGGUGAUCGGCCACACUGGAACUGAGACACGGUCCAGACGCCUACGGGAGGCAGCAGUAGGGAAUCUUCCGCAAUGGGCGAAAGCCUGACGGAGCAACGCCGCGUGAGUGAUGAAGGUCUUCGGAUCGUAAAACUCUGUUAUUAGGGAAGAACAUAUGUGUAAGUAACUGUGCACAUCUUGACGGUACCUAAUCAGAAAGCCACGGCUAACUACGUG